CGACUAAAUAAUAAAUAAACACAAACAACAAAAUUCCAUUAAUAUACCAAGUUGACAAAGGAACUAGGAAUUACACUUCUAAAGUCAUGGAAACAACAAAUGUAGAAGCAUCAAUUGUUUAUCAUAUAUGAUGACUAUCCUUUGAUUCCUCUCAAUCUUUCUUCUGCUUCUAAUCCACCUUAUAAUCUCUUUUAGGACGAUUGAAUUUAGAAUACGAACUCGAUUCUUCACAGCUUUAAAGAUCAUUAGAGUUCAUGGCUCUAAAGACGACUUCAAUGUCCAUUAAUAUCUAUUAGCUAAAAACAAGAAUCCUUCACUUCUUCUACAAUAUUACAGGUAAUGUAUUGUUCUUUUCUGCUGCCAUUUUGCGUAACUACCAAACAAGUAAAAAAGAUAAAUGCAUAAUAAUAAUAAUAAUUUUAUCAAUAAAUAAAAUAAAAUAAUGUUUGACCGAUAAGAAAAUUUCGUUAUAAUAAAUUAAUUUUAUUAUUUAAUGAAGACUUUGUAUAAUUAUAUAGAAUGAGCUAUAUUUUCUUGCAAUGCUAAUUAUAAAGAAGAAUAGAUAUUACAUGGCGUGGCUUGAAAAUUUAGAACUACUUAAUUUUUUUUUGUUAAAUGUGUUGUCCAAAUAAAAUAAUUUCCAAUAUUCUUGGAGAUUAUAGCAGUGAGCUGUGGCUGUAAUGGGUGCCACCUUUACAAAGAGUUGCAAAAUUUUUGGGGUUCCAUACUCAAGUUGCUUUUGACUACACAACUGAAAAAACUAACUAAACGAUGUAUCAAUUUCUACGUGGCAAACGCUAACCACUAUCGCUGCUCUGCCCUGCUACUUACUACUAUAUGUUGUCCCCGUUGGCGACGCGUGGAUAGCCUUAUUCUCCUGUUAAAAAAAAAAAAGUGAUUUUUCUUAUCUAAAUUUAAUUAAUUAUAUAUUCAAAAUAUAAAAUACAAGAUAUAUAAUAAAAUUAAUUUAUUAAAUAAAGAUUUAUAAUAGAUCGAGUCUAAAUAAAAAUUUUUCAAAACUAUAUUAAUAUUGUGUUUUCCGUUCUAUUAAUUAUUAUUAUCAUUUUUUUAUAAUCAGCUUAUAUUAGGAUUUGAAUUAAAAUUUCAAUUGAGAUUCAAACUUGAAACUUGUAAUUCUAUAAAAUGAUUUUA
This 1152-nucleotide unclassified non-coding RNA is filed under the name Hevea brasiliensis (rubber tree). Lineage: Eukaryota; Viridiplantae; Streptophyta; Magnoliopsida; Malpighiales; Euphorbiaceae. The record is from RNAcentral.